AGAGUUUGAUCCUGGCUCAGGACGAACGCUGGCGGCGUGCUUAACACAUGCAAGUCGAACGGAAAGGCCCUUCGGGGUACUCGAGUGGCGAACGGGUGAGUAACACGUGGGUGAUCUGCCCUGCACUUUGGGAUAAGCCUGGGAAACUGGGUCUAAUACCGAAUAGGACCGCGCUCUUCAUGGGGUGUGGUGGAAAGCUUUUGCGGUGUGGGAUGGGCCCGCGGCCUAUCAGCUUGUUGGUGGGGUAAUGGCCUACCAAGGCGACGACGGGUAGCCGGCCUGAGAGGGUGACCGGCCACACUGGGACUGAGAUACGGCCCAGACUCCUACGGGAGGCAGCAGUGGGGAAUAUUGCACAAUGGGCGCAAGCCUGAUGCAGCGACGCCGCGUGAGGGAUGACGGCCUUCGGGUUGUAAACCUCUUUCAAUAGGGACGAAGCGCAAGUGACGGUACCUACAGAAGAAGGACCGGCCAACUACGUGCCAGCAGCCGCGGUAAUACGUAGGGUCCGAGCGUUGUCCGGAAUUACUGGGCGUAAAGAGCUCGUAGGUGGUUUGUCGCGUUGUUCGUGAAAACUCACAGCUUAACUGUGGGCGUGCGGGCGAUACGGGCAGACUAGAGUACUGCAGGGGAGACUGGAAUUCCUGGUGUAGCGGUGGAAUGCGCAGAUAUCAGGAGGAACACCGGUGGCGAAGGCGGGUCUCUGGGCAGUAACUGACGCUGAGGAGCGAAAGCGUGGGUAGCGAACAGGAUUAGAUACCCUGGUAGUCCAA
This 773-nucleotide ribosomal RNA is filed under the name uncultured bacterium. RNAcentral's name for it is "bacterial SSU rRNA". It matches the Rfam family "Bacterial small subunit ribosomal RNA", at positions 8 to 798 of the family's 1533-position model. The record is from RNAcentral.